This 689-nucleotide ribosomal RNA is filed under the name uncultured bacterium. RNAcentral's name for it is "bacterial SSU rRNA". It matches the Rfam family "Bacterial small subunit ribosomal RNA", at positions 108 to 796 of the family's 1533-position model. The record is from RNAcentral.
GCGUAACGCGUAUGCAACCUACCUUUAACAGGGGGAUAACACUGAGAAAUUGGUACUAAUACCCCAUAAUAUCAUAGAAGGCAUCUUUUAUGGUUGAAAAUUCCGAUGGUUAGAGAUGGGCAUGCGUUGUAUUAGCUAGUUGGUGGGGUAACGGCUCACCAAGGCGACGAUACAUAGGGGGACUGAGAGGUUAACCCCCCACACUGGUACUGAGACACGGACCAGACUCCUACGGGAGGCAGCAGUGAGGAAUAUUGGUCAAUGGACGCAAGUCUGAACCAGCCAUGCCGCGUGCAGGAUGACGGCUCUAUGAGUUGUAAACUGCUUUUGUACGAGGGUAAACGCAGAUACGUGUAUCUGUCUGAAAGUAUCGUACGAAUAAGGAUCGGCUAACUCCGUGCCAGCAGCCGCGGUAAUACGGAGGAUUCAAGCGUUAUCCGGAUUUAUUGGGUUUAAGGGGUGCGUAGGCGGUUUGAUAAGUUAGAGGUGAAAUUUCGGGGCUCAACCCUGAACGUGCCUCUAAUACUGUUGAGCUAGAGAGUAGUUGCGGUAGGCGGAAUGUAUGGUGUAGCGGUGAAAUGCUUAGAGAUCAUACAGAACACCGAUUGCGAAGGCAGCUUACCAAACUAUAUCUGACGUUGAGGCACGAAAGCGUGGGGAGCAAACAGGAUUAGAUACCCUGGUAGUCC